AGCACACAAUAUUCCAAGCAUUUCCCACACACACUUGGACAGUCAGAUUGUGGAUCUAUAUUUUUACUCCAGUGCUGCAGGUGUUUGCGGAGGUGGGGGGGGGGUGGAAAUGGAAAAACUGAGCAGUCGCCUUGGGACAUGAGUCCCCAGCAUCUCAUUCCCAGGCCAAGGUCUGAGGAACAGAAGGCAAGGAAGCAAAGCGGGAGGAGAAGGCGACCAGAGCCACACUCUCAUCCGAUGAGCACGGAUUUCUCCCUGCCAGGCUUUGGGCCUAGAACUCACCACAAAGAUAAAGAGACGUGAUCUUUGCCUUUGAUGUGCUUGAACCAGAGACCACUGGGAACGUGACCCAGUGAGCUGGCUGGAGAGGAAUGACUGCCUCUUCCCGGGAGCGAGGGGGAGUUAGUUACAGCAAAGAGGAAGAGAAGAAACCCGAGUGUCCAUAAUCCAUGAGACGGUUGGGUCACCUGACUGGAAUCUGCGGAAGUCCAGACUCGGAGUCGUCCAUACCUUAAGGAACCUUCUGAAGGAAACCCCCCCAAAAACACGCUUGUGUUAGCUCCAGGCUACGCGAGCUCACCCGCGGCUCACGAGCGACCCCUAGCGACCGUGGACCAGGGAAGGCUCUCUCUCUCUCUCUCUCUCUCUCUCUCUCUCUCUCUCUCUCUCUCUCUCUCUCUCUCUCUCUUGUUCCUCUGGGCCUUGGGGCCACUCCAAACCUAUUCGCCCCUCUCCUUCCAAACGAGAGGGGCGCAGAGCUUGCAAGAGGGAAAACCCUGCAAGCCGUCCUUGCAGAGGAGAUCGUGUCUGUAACCAGGAUGUCGCUUCGUUUCGGGGAGCCAGAAGGAUCCUUCCGCCCUCUCCACUGUAGGCAAUGGAGACCUCUGCCCCGUACAGUAGUGCCCAUCAACUGACUACUUGCCUUCCUGAGGCUUUUGUUCUAAGGAGGACAUCGGAGAAAGUGUGUGAGCAAAUAGGUGGACAUCAUCUGAGACUGUGCCACACAUAGCUUAAGGAAAAUUAGGGCUACUGUUGAGAACUAAAGGGUGACCAGAGAAGGGCUCCCCAAAAGCGUGAGAUCUGGGCUGAGACCUUACUGGUAAGAACUAGCAAUGCAAAGAUUUCCGGGAAGAAGCAGCAGCAAGUAGCUCAGUGGGAGAAUGUUUGCCUAGCACGCACGGGGCCUGCCUUUAAUCUUAAGCAUUCUUGAAUAGCAAGUACGAAGGCCCUGGGGCGAGAAGGAACUUGGAAUGUUCAUGAAGCAGCAAGAUGGCCGCUUUGUCUGCUUCGGAGUGAACGCGUGACCAGGGAGGAGAAAGACAGAGCAAACAGCCCUUUGAAGGCUGUGCUUGCUAGUUUUAUAUUGACUUGACACAACCUAGAAUCAUUUUGGAAGAGGGAAACUCAAUUGCAAAAACGUUGCCACUAGAUUGGUCUGUAUACAAGCCUGUGGGACAUUUUCUUGACUGAGGAUUGAUGUGGGUCGGCCCAGCCCACUGUGGGUGGGGCCACCCCUGCGCUGGUGGUCCUGGGUGCUCUAUGAAAGCAAGCUGAGCAAGCCAUGGAGAGCAGGCCAGUAGGCAGUGUUCCUCGUGGCUCGUGACUCCAGGUUCCUGCCUUGAGUUUCUGCUCUGGCUUCCUCAGUGAUGGGUUGUGAUUGGGACAUGUAAACUGACAUUAAAAACAACAAAUAAACAAACAAACCAGAAAGCUUUCUUCUUCAAGCUAUUUCUAGUCAGAGAGUUUCUAUCACAGCAAAAGAAACCUAACUAAGACAAAAAAUUUAAGGAGGAAUCUGUUUUUCAUUUUGUUUUGG
This is a long non-coding RNA of Meriones unguiculatus (Mongolian gerbil), 1816 nucleotides long. RefSeq lists it as uncharacterized. The transcript has 3 exons. NCBI's taxonomy places the organism in Eukaryota, Metazoa, Chordata, Mammalia, Rodentia, Muridae. The record is from RefSeq and is a predicted model, not a curated record.